UUUAUUUUCUAUUUUAAUAGAAAUAUCUUAUUUUCAGCUUGAGUAUUAUUAUAGAAAUAGUUUUAUUUGUUAUAGUUUAUUGUACUGUGAAGGAUAUUUUUUAAUUUUAUAUAAGUAUAUAUUUUUAUAGUACCUUUUGUAUCAGGGUUUAUUAAAUACUGUUAUAAAUAUACUUUUCCCGAAAUUAAAAGAGUUAUUAUAAAAUGUAUUUUUAUGUGUUACAAUAAUAUAUAAUAUUAUAAUAGAGGUUAUAUGCCAUUCAAUUUUAAAUAUCUGGUUUUCUGAUAAAUAAAUUUAAUUUAUGAAUUACAAGUUAUGUAUUAUUUAUAUUAUAUUUAAUUUGUAAUUCUAAAUUUAUGAGGGAUAAGCUUUGUAAAUUACUUAUAAAUUUACUUUAUUAUUAAUUAUAGUAGGCUUAAUAACAGCCAUUUAAUUCGUUUCAGUUAAAAUUAAAAUAGUUUUUAUUUUAAUUUAUUUUAAGUUCUUAUUAGAAUAGAUUUUAUAAUUUUAUCAAGGUUGAAAUUAUGAUAAAAUUAGUAUUUUUAUUAAUUAAGUAUAGGAAUUCGGCAAAUUCUAUUUCCGCCUGUUUAUCAAAAACAUGUCUUACUGGUUAUUAAUUUUAAGUCUAACCUGCUCAAUGAUUAUUUAAAUAGCCGCAGUAUCCUAACUGUGCAAAGGUAGCAUAAUCAUUUGUCUCUUAAUUGGAGGCUUGGAUGAAUGGUUGGACGAGAUUUAAUCUUUCUUUAUUUAAUUUUUAUGAAUUUAAUUUUAUAGUGAAAAGGCUAUAAUUUUUAUAUGGGACGAGAAGACCCUAUAGAAUUUUAUUUUAGAAUUUAACCCCAAGUUUUAAUUUUAUCUUUGGGGUUAAAUUCUAAAAUUAGGUUGGGGUGAUUGUAAAAAUAAAAUAACUUUUAUUAUUAAUUAUUCAUUAAUUUAUGUUAUAAAGAUCCUUUAAUAUGGAUUUUAAGAUUAAAUUACCUUAGGGAUAACAGCGUAAUUUCUUUUGAGAGUUCUUAUCAAUGGAGGAGUUUGCGACCUCGAUGUUGGAUUAAAAUUAGAUUAUUGAAUGGUGUAGAGGCUUAAUAAUCUGGGUCUGUUCGACCUUUAAUUUUUUACAUGAUCUGAGUUCAGACCGGCGUGAGCCAGGUUGGUUUCUAUCUAUAAUUUUAUUAUCUUAGUACGAAAGGACCAGGUUUUAAUAAUAUUUAUUUUAUAUUGAUU
Molecule: ribosomal RNA, 1221 nt
Filed under: Pylorgus porrectus
Lineage: Eukaryota; Metazoa; Arthropoda; Insecta; Hemiptera; Lygaeidae
Description: 16S ribosomal RNA
Rfam family: Archaeal large subunit ribosomal RNA (bases 795-1163)
Source: RNAcentral